Molecule: unclassified non-coding RNA, 200 nt
Filed under: Hevea brasiliensis (rubber tree)
Lineage: Eukaryota; Viridiplantae; Streptophyta; Magnoliopsida; Malpighiales; Euphorbiaceae
Source: RNAcentral
AGGCCGUCCGCAAGGAAUGGCUGGAAGUGUGAUACCCUCCGCUCCGCUAUGGAGACAUUGACGUCGCGGAAAUGCCGGAUGCGUUCGGAUGACCGAACAAAGUGUUCUGCGCCUGUCGAUCGCCGUAACCCUGGCNNNNAUUCUGUUCGGUCUUCUGUCGGGGUCCUACGCAAUUGUUUUCGACGGCGUCUACGCGCUGA